CUAACCGCAAGGAGGACGGUCACCACGGUAGGAUUCAUGACUGGGGUGAAGUCGUAACAAGGUAGCCGUAUCGGAAGGUGCGGCUGGAUCACCUCCUUUC
Molecule: ribosomal RNA, 100 nt
Filed under: Burkholderia cenocepacia
Lineage: Bacteria; Pseudomonadati; Pseudomonadota; Betaproteobacteria; Burkholderiales; Burkholderiaceae
Description: partial 16S ribosomal RNA
Rfam family: Bacterial small subunit ribosomal RNA
Source: RNAcentral